Molecule: long non-coding RNA, 2184 nt
Organism: Salvia splendens (bonfire salvia)
Lineage: Eukaryota; Viridiplantae; Streptophyta; Magnoliopsida; Lamiales; Lamiaceae
Exons: 3
Source: RefSeq, a predicted model, not a curated record
CAUAAAAAUAAUCACAAAACAAAAAUUUCUCACAGACUGCACUCUGUACUGAACUUCCAAUUGCCCUCUCUCCCUAGAAGAGAGCAAUACCAGACUCGUGGAUUAUUAGAUAAACACGGUUAUUUUCGGAUAGGAAAUUUGAUUCGAAGAUUGCGCCUCCAAAUUCAGAUCUGAAGAGUGAGAUUAUAGUUGUCGUGAAUAAGCACAUUUAUAGAUAUAUGUUUCAUGCUUUGGAUGGUUUGGAUAAAAUAGAGGUUGAUUUACUGAGGUUUUGGUGGUUAUGGCGGAAAUCUAAAUCUGCUGAUUGUAUAAGUUUCACAGGCUUAGAAUUGUAAAACUCGUUGGUUUGAUAGAUCUCUUGUUUUAGUUUGUUAGCUAGGAUUAGCGCAGAAGAAGGUUGUUUUAGUGUGAAAAUUUGCGAGAAAUGGAAACAUUAGUUGUUGUUGCUCAUCACAGAAAUCAUCAGUACCAUGGCAGAAGCCGUGACUAUGGUUUAAGUUCAACAAGGUUUGGGUCAUGUUCACCACCUACGGGUGGUUUUCGAGGAAUUAAUUGUAGGACAUUUCAUUCUGGAGAAGGAUUGCUCUCACCUCCACCCAAAUCUUGCUCGAGUAAAACAAAAUCCCUUGUUACUAAAAAGGCCUUUUGCCCUUCUUUGUCGCCUAACACUCCAUCCCCAUCUGUUUGUGAAAACCCGAAAAUGCUGAAAGGAAUUGCUAUUCCAAUACUUAUGGAUACCAAGUUUGAGAGCAGGGAUGAGGGGUUUCAAUUUUCUGAGCUCUGGGCUGGACCUGCUUAUUCCAAUUCACCUCCCCCAAGUUGUUUGCCAGUGCCUAAGUUCACACUGAAGCCUAAAAGAACUAUUUCCCUUGACUUGCCGACUGUGGCAUCAGAAAUUGAUUUGCCUCUUUCACAUUCUGCACCUGCCUCCCCUAGGGAGUGCAGUCCUUCUCCGAGUGAUUUGUUUGAUAUUGCUGAUUCUGCGACGAAGACCCUGCGCCGCAUGCUUAAUCUUGAUAUUGAUGAUGAAUGAAGUGUUGGUGGUGGUGGGUGUAAAUAAGGAAAAUAGCUUACUGUGUAGCUCAGUAGUGGUAGAGUUGAAGCAUUGGUGUGUGGUAGUGCUGGAACUGCAUUUCAUUGAUCAGUGAUCUCCAUAUCUCUGGGACUGGUAUUUCUUGUUUGGCUGGGGAUAUUUGGUUUUGUUGCUCGGACAGGGAUCUCACAAAUGGAAGUUGUGAAAUGGAAAACAUGGGUUGAUGAAGGAUUCAAUCAUCGUUACUUAGUUGAGUACUUAUGGUUCGAAGUUCUUAAACUACUGAAUUAUUAUCGAUCAAAUUUUCCGCUUGGGGAAACUAGAUGCUAUCGAAAGUGGCAAUUUCAGCUUUCCAUUCAUUUCUUCUCACCUUUCUAGUUUCCCCCCAUAGUCAGAAUAUUUUAUGCAUAAUGUACAUAUACUGCAUAACCUAACUUGUUUAGUGUCAAUAGUUUACCUUUUUCUUUUCUCUAUGCUUCCUUCCCAAUCAUCUGCUUAGCCCACUUGCACUUUCCUGUUCAGAUACUCUUGUAUUCCCGUACAUUAGCUGUCUGAGUUGGUUCGGCGUCUUUUUUAUCCUUCUUCCAUUUUCUUCUUCUCUGCUUAGAGAUGUUACUGACUUCUGAUCUAGGUUUUCCCUUCGCCAAUUUUCUUGGUUUUAAAAAAAGAAAAGUGGGAAUGGGAAUAGGGCAGUUGAUCUUUUCUCUCGUAGUACUUCAGUCCAAUAGUAGUUGAGUUUGCUCUUGCAAGCUUCGCCUUUCUCUUCGGUAUGAGCUUUUUUUUUUCUUUUAUUGCCUAGGGAUGAUCCUUUCUAAGCAGGUUUUACCUUUACCCCUUUCCUUGCUGGUCUUUAGUUCCAUUGUCAUUGGAGAUUGUUGAUUGUUUGAAGUUGUUCCCAGUCAGAGCUGAUGGAACAUAAAUGCUUCUGGAGGCCAUUCCAGUAUAGCGUAUCGCUGAUCUUUGUAGGCUGUGUUCUUUGUUUUAAUCAGUGUGGUAGUCUGUCUUACUAUGAAGUCUGAACAUCUUAGUGUUAUAUCUGAGUCUUAUGUUUCUUGUAGUUGUGAUCUCUUGCCUUUGUUUUGUUGAGAUGUUGUUUGGAUUGUGUAGUUUUCUUAUUGCCAAGCAAGUUAUCCUUCCAUUCUUGAUUUCAA